AACAUUUGGCUUCUGAGGACUUAGGUUGACCAGCAAAUGUUUGUGCAUUCUGAUUCAUGACUUGCUUCUCAUUAUUUUAACUAAACCAGGUGGCUGCAAAGAACAAUGACGUGCAGUUGACAGAUUUUAUCGAAAGUGAGUUUUUGAACGAACAGGUGGAAGCCAUCAAGAAAAUAUCAGAGUAUGUUGCUCAGCUAAGAAGAGUGGGCAAAGGACAUGGUGUCUGGCACUUUGAUCAGAUGCUUCUCCAAGAGGGAGCAGAAGUUGUUGCUUGAUGAUGAUGCCCUAGUUAAGAUCCAGAGGGAGGAGGAAAGUGCUGCUGUCUCACAGGGGUACUUUUAUGUGCUCUUCUAAUAAUAGUUAGCUUUUAGAAUUUUUGUCCAGAGUGUUGGUGACGGGAUAUGUUUUAGUUGCUUGUUUUAGUUGUUAUGGCUGUAAGCUUGAUGACAAACACAUGGAGGAUUGCUCUUUUAGAGGGAUUCUUCUUCUAUGCCAGUAGGGAGAAAAAGAGAUUUGUGAUAAUCACCUUUUACAUAAUUCAAGAUAUUUGGAAAUAGCUGGUUCAUAU
This is a non-coding RNA of Carica papaya (papaya), 568 nucleotides long. The record is from RefSeq and is a predicted model, not a curated record. NCBI's taxonomy places the organism in Eukaryota, Viridiplantae, Streptophyta, Magnoliopsida, Brassicales, Caricaceae.